This 496-nucleotide ribosomal RNA is filed under the name uncultured bacterium. RNAcentral's name for it is "partial 16S ribosomal RNA". It matches the Rfam family "Bacterial small subunit ribosomal RNA", at positions 29 to 507 of the family's 1533-position model. The record is from RNAcentral.
AUGAACGCUGGCGGCGCGCCUAAUACCUGCAAGUCGCGCGCACAGACGAGGAGCUUGCUCCUCUGACGUUAGCGGCGGACGGGUGAGUAACACGUGGAUAACCUACCUAUAAGACUGGGAUAACUUCGGGAAACCGGAGCUAAUACCGGAUAAUAUAUUGAACCGCAUGGUUCAAUAGUGAAAGACGGUUUUGCUGUCACUUAUAGAUGGAUCCGCGCCGCAUUAGCUAGUUGGUAAGGUAACGGCUUACCAAGGCGACGAUGCGUAGCCGACCUGAGAGGGUGAUCGGCCACACUGGAACUGAGACACGGUCCAGACUCCUACGGGAGGCAGCAGUAGGGAAUCUUCCGCAAUGGGCGAAAGCCUGACGGAGCAACGCCGCGUGAGUGAUGAAGGUCUUCGGAUCGUAAAACUCUGUUAUUAGGGAAGAACAAAUGUGUAAGUAACUAUGCACGUCUUGACGGUACCUAAUCAGAAAGCCACGGCUAACUACGUG